UAAAACCACAGGGACCAAAAAGGAAUUCACUCCGAAUUCUUUCCUGCAUUUUGACGCACCUCCCAUUGAAGAAAAGCGGUUAGAUGAAGAAAGCAGCUCAGUAACACUUCCAAUCGUCCUAUAGAUCACCAGCACCACCAUCUUAAUUAUGGACAACAGGAACGUCGUCGUUUGCGACAAUGGCACUGGGUAUGUCAAAUGUGGAUUUGCGGGGGAGAAUUUUCCUACUUCUGUGUUCCCUUGUGUGGUGGGGAGGCCAAUGUUACGGUAUGAAGAGUCGCUCAUGGAACAAGAGCUCAAGGAUAUUAUUGUUGGAGCAGCUUGUGCUGAUUUGCGGCAUCAACUGGAUAUAUCCUAUCCUGUUAACAAUGGUAUAGUGCAAAACUGGGAAGAUAUGGGUCAUGUGUGGGACCAUGCUUUUUUCAGUGAAUUAAAAAUUGACCCAACAGAAUGUAAAAUUUUACUUACAGACCCACCUCUUAAUCCCUCAAAAAAUCGUGAAAAGAUGGUGGAGACAAUGUUCGAGAAAUACAACUUUGCUGGUGUCUUCAUUCAAAUCCAAGCUGUUUUAACUUUGUACGCUCAAGGUCUGCUGACUGGACUAGUUAUUGACUCUGGUGAUGGUGUCACCCAUGUGGUUCCAGUUGUUGAUGGCUACUCAUUCCCUCAUCUUACUAAGCGAAUGAAUGUAGCUGGUCGGCACAUAACAUCCUAUCUUGUUGAUUUACUCUCACGGAGAGGGUAUGCAAUGAAUAAGACUGCUGAUUUUGAGACUGUUAGGCAAAUCAAAGAGAAGCUCUGCUAUAUAAGUUAUGAUUACAAAAGGGAAUAUCAAUUGGGCCUUGAAACCACCAUUCUGGUUAAGAAUUAUACUCUGCCAGAUGGAAGGACCAUUAAAGUAGGAACUGAAAGAUUUCAGGCCCCUGAGGCUCUUUUUACGCCAGAACUUAUUGAUGUUGAAGGUGAUGGAAUGGCUGAUAUGGUUUUUCGCUGCAUUCAGGAAAUGGAUAUUGACAACCGUAUGAUGUUAUACCAGCAUAUAGUUUUAAGUGGAGGGAGCACCAUGUAUCCUGGACUGCCUAGUCGCCUUGAGAAAGAAAUCCUGGAUCGGUAUCUUGAUGUGGUUCUGAAGGGAAAUAAAGAUGGGUUAAAGAAGUUGCGAUUGCGAAUUGAGGAUCCGCCAAGAAGAAAGCACAUGGUAUAUCUUGGAGGGGCAGUUCUUGCAGGAAUCAUGAAGGAUGCACCGGAGUUUUGGAUUAGCAGGGAAGAUUAUAUGGAAGAAGGACUUGCUUGUUUAAGCAAGUGUGGUCAGGCUUGACUUUUCUGAUGCAGUCUGCCUGUGCUUUCCCUGUUUGGAAUGCCUCUGAUACAUUCCCUAUGAGCAAAAGCAUGAGAGAAACAGCUAUACAGAUGAGGGUGUUUUGACUUUGAAGAACUUGUGAAGGUGAAAGUUUAACGAGGCUUACAGCUUGGUGAUGACUUUCUAUGUGCAAUUGCGUGUGAUUUAUCUUGAAUUUUGACUUUCUUUCUACCCGGCAAUAAUUUUCUAGAAAGAUUUGGGUUUGAAAUCUCCGAUUAAUUAUAUUUGAUAUAGCACGAUGGUGUAAUUGUUGUGAUAUUGAAUUUAAUUUACCUUGACGGAAAGAGGGUAUACUUGCCGAUUAGAAAAAGGAAGAUCAAAGAGAACCAAAGCUACAUUUUAACAUAAAUUUUGGUUUACGAAAUUGGGUUGAUUUAAUUUCGUA
RNA transcript from Pistacia vera, 1745 nucleotides. It is a transcript of the gene named actin-related protein 2, with no coding region annotated. NCBI's taxonomy places the organism in Eukaryota, Viridiplantae, Streptophyta, Magnoliopsida, Sapindales, Anacardiaceae. The transcript is spliced from 16 exons. The record is from RefSeq and is a predicted model, not a curated record.